UACGGAGGGCGCAAGCGUUGUUCGGAAUUACUGGGCGUAAAGCGCGUGUAGGUGGCCUGAAAAGUCGGGUGUGAAAUCCCGGAGCUCAACUCCGGAACUGCAUCCGAUACUGCCAGGCUCGAGUCUCGGAGAGGAUGGCGGAAUUUCCGGUGUAGAGGUGAAAUUCGUAGAGAUCGGAAGGAACACCAGUGGCGAAGGCGGCCGUCUGGACGAUGACUGACACUGAGACGCGAAAGCGUGGGGAGCAAACAGG
Molecule: ribosomal RNA, 253 nt
Filed under: uncultured bacterium
Lineage: Bacteria
Description: partial 16S ribosomal RNA
Rfam family: Bacterial small subunit ribosomal RNA
Source: RNAcentral